UCUCCGUAGGUGAACCUGCGGNNNNAUCAUUACACAAUAACCAGGCGGGCUGGACACCCCCCGCUGGGCACUGCUUCACGGCGUGCGCGGCGGGGCCGGCCCUGCUGAAUUAUUCACCCGUGUCUUUUGCGUACUUCUUGUUUCCUGGGUGGGCUCGCCCGCCCUCAGGACCAACCACAAACCUUUUGCAAUAGCAAUCAGCGUCAGUAACAACGUAAUUAAUUACAACUUUCAACAACGGAUCUCUUGGUUCUGGCAUCGAUGAAGAACGCAGCGAAAUGCGAUACGUAGUGUGAAUUGCAGAAUUCAGUGAAUCAUCGAAUCUUUGAACGCACAUUGCGCCCUUUGGUAUUCCAAAGGGCAUGCCUGUUCGAGCGUCAUUUGUACCCUCAAGCUUUGCUUGGCGUUGGGCGUCUUUUGUCUCCAGUUCGCUGGAGACUCGCCUUAAAGUCAUUGGCAGCCGGCCUACUGGUUUCGGAGCGCAGCACAAGUCGCGCUCUUUGCCAGCCAAGGUCAGCGUCCAGCAAGCCUUUUUUUCAACCUUUGACCUCGGAUCAGGUAGGGAUACCCGCUGAACUUAAGCAUAUCA
Molecule: ribosomal RNA, 589 nt
Filed under: uncultured fungus
Lineage: Eukaryota; Fungi
Description: eukaryotic LSU rRNA
Rfam family: 5.8S ribosomal RNA (bases 227-380)
Source: RNAcentral